UUUUUUUUUUUCUGCACAGCAAAUGACGAGAAGUCAGUUUAACAACACAUGUAUGGACAUUGUGGAAUGGGUGUCAGAAGCUGUCACCAACAUUAUCUUGCCAGCCCUAGCCGAUGUAUUGGAUGCCAAUGAGGAGUUCCAUAAAACAGCAAAAACUGUAGUUAUGGAAGUGAUUUCUGGGGCAACCACUGAAGUUUCCCCCUACGUUUCCAAACCACACAAUGGCUUUGGCGAUAAUGCUUCUUGGCUUGACAAGCAAGAUGACAUCCACUCCCAUGUGGAUCGGGCAGCUUCUGACAUCGUUGAAAUUGUUUUGAAAGAGCUUCACAACUUCUCAAAAACAGUCCAAGAACUCGAUGCAUCAGAUAACAAGUCAGUCAGUUGGGGGUCUCCAUCCCAAGCCUCAAGUACCUUGCCACUGCUUGCAUCUAACAGCUCUCCAUCAAAAGGAUUGUCCGCUGCUUUCGGCAUGUUCAAGUCUGUGGCAAGUAAACUAAGGGAAUUUUUUAUUCAGCAUCCGCCUUUGCUGGUCAGAUCUGAAGAAAAGAUUUCCUCAGACAAGGAAGAGACUUCAGCUUUUAUAGUCCCCGAAUAUACCUUCGUAACAUCUGUUGGCUCUCAGACUGAUGAGGCCCUUCUUGAUACCUGUCCCACUGAGGUUGAAAAUGAAAUUUCCACUUCACUCUUGUUGGCUGAUUCACUGGACAGCUGUUCAUUGGUGACAGAAAUCAAAUCUGAGGUGUCCUUGGAUUCUGAAAUAUUGGCAGACGUUUCUCUGACUGAUCUCACCACAUGUAGUGAUGUCUCAUCUCUAGACAGACUGGAUCAACCACGACUGACUCCACAAGAUGACUUUAUUAAUCCGAAAGCUGCAUGGUGCACUCCCAGUCCUCAGAGCCAGUCUCUUAUCAAGCUCUCAGAAGAAAAGUGCCUGAGAAUAGCAAUAGAAUUAGUCACUGAAGCUGUUCUCAGAACAGCCGAGGACAUUGCAGAGCCUCCGGAUAUUGCUGUAUCACACAAUAGUGGUAUCAGUGGAAUAGCAUUUCAAUCUCAGAGUGAAAACCUCUCUGGGGAUAAGAAAAAAUGUAAGAAGAGGAUGAGAUUUAAGAAGAGUUUCAUGAAACCUGAACUCAUCUUUAAGAGGAACAGGAUAAAUCCAUAUAUGGGGGGUGAGGGCUCAAAGACAAGGAAAAGUGCAACAAGUGAACAAGUGAAUGAAGGUGCUCACCCAAGUGAAAGUGAUUCUGCGUUCCAUACAUCGAAAGAGAAAUGCCAGAAACGAUCAAUUUUUAUGAAGACUCUGUCUGCAAUCUCUCAAGCACGAACAAAAUGUACAGAUCUUUUUCAGGGAAAAGACAGCUGAUAUAAUAAAUGAGUUUUGCUUAAUUUGAUAGUGGUUCA
RNAcentral lists this long non-coding RNA (1401 nucleotides) under Scleropages formosus (Asian bonytongue). RNAcentral's name for it is "lncRNA (ENSSFOG00015025315.1)". The record is from RNAcentral. Lineage: Eukaryota; Metazoa; Chordata; Actinopteri; Osteoglossiformes; Osteoglossidae.